This 330-nucleotide ribosomal RNA is filed under the name uncultured Coriobacteriales bacterium. Its description in RNAcentral is "bacterial SSU rRNA". It matches the Rfam family "Bacterial small subunit ribosomal RNA", at positions 28 to 339 of the family's 1533-position model. Lineage: Bacteria; Bacillati; Actinomycetota; Coriobacteriia; Coriobacteriales. The record is from RNAcentral.
GAUGAACGCUGGCGGCGUGCCUAACACAUGCAAGUCGAACGAAGCUCCCGAACGGACCCCUCCGGGGGGAAGGGAGGGAAGACUUAGUGGCGGACGGGUGAGUAACGCGUGGGCAACCAACCCUGCGCAGGGGGACAACGGCUGGAAACGGCCGCUAAUACCGCAUACUCCUUCCGGGACGCAUGUCCCGGGGGGGAAAACUCCGGUGGCGCAGGACGGACCCGCGUCCGAUUAGCUAGUUGGCGGGGCAACGGCCCACCAAGGCGACGAUCGGUAGCCGGCCUGAGAGGGCGACCGGCCACAUUGGGACUGAGACACGGCCCAAACUCC